This 522-nucleotide ribosomal RNA is filed under the name Escherichia coli. Its description in RNAcentral is "partial 23S ribosomal RNA". It matches the Rfam family "Bacterial large subunit ribosomal RNA", at positions 1 to 562 of the family's 2925-position model. Lineage: Bacteria; Pseudomonadati; Pseudomonadota; Gammaproteobacteria; Enterobacterales; Enterobacteriaceae. The record is from RNAcentral.
GGUUAAGCGACUAAGCGUACACGGUGGAUGCCCUGGCAGUCAGAGGCGAUGAAGGACGUGCUAAUCUGCGAUAAGUGUCGGUAAGGUGAUAUGAACCGUUAUAACCGGCGAUUUCCGAAUGGGGAAACCCAGUGUGUUUCGACACACUAUCAUUAACUGAAUCCAUAGGUUAAUGAGGCGAACCGGGGGAACUGAAACAUCUAAGUACCCCGAGGAAAAGAAAUCAACCGAGAUUCCCCCAGUAGCGGCGAGCGAACGGGGAGCAGCCCAGAGCCUGAAUCAGUAUGUGUGUUAGUGGAAGCGUCUGGAAAGGCGCGCGAUACAGGGUGACAGCCCCGUACACAAAAAUGCACAUGCUGUGAGCUCGAUGAGUAGGGCGGGACACGUGGUAUCCUGUCUGAAUAUGGGGGGACCAUCCUCCAAGGCUAAAUACUCCUGACUGACCGAUAGUGAACCAGUACCGUGAGGGAAAGGCGAAAAGAACCCCGGCGAGGGGAGUGAAAAAGAACCUGAAACCGUGUA